UUUAACCUUUCGGGGAGGACGGUCACCACUUUGUGAUUCAUGACUGGGGUGAAGUCGUAACAAGGUAACCCUAGGGGAACCUGGGGUUGGAUCACCUCCUUAUCUUGAAG
This 110-nucleotide ribosomal RNA is filed under the name Colwellia sp. MB02u-10. RNAcentral describes it as "partial 16S ribosomal RNA". It matches the Rfam family "Bacterial small subunit ribosomal RNA", at positions 1434 to 1533 of the family's 1533-position model. The record is from RNAcentral. Lineage: Bacteria; Pseudomonadati; Pseudomonadota; Gammaproteobacteria; Alteromonadales; Colwelliaceae.